CGGGGAAUAUUGCACAAUGGAGGGAACUCUGAUGCAGCGACGCCGCGUGAACGAAGAAGGCUUUCGAGUCGUAAAGUUCUUUUAUAUGGGAAGAUAAUGACGGUACCAUAAGAAAAAGCCCCGGCUAACUACGUGCCAGCAGCCGCGGUAAUACGUAGGGGGCUAGCGUUGUCCGGAAUCACUGGGCGUAAAGGGUUCGCAGGCGGAAAUGCAAGUCAGGUGUAAAAGGCAGUAGCUUAACUACUGUAAGCAUUUGAAACUGCAUAUCUUGAGAAGAGUAGAGGUAAGUGGAAUUUUUAGUGUAGCGGUGAAAUGCGUAGAUAUUAAAAAGAAUACCGGUGGCGAAGGCGACUUACUGGGCUCAUUCUGACGCUGAGGAACGAAAGCGUGGGUAGCAAACAGG
RNAcentral lists this ribosomal RNA (403 nucleotides) under Bacteroidota bacterium. RNAcentral's name for it is "Bacteroidetes bacterium partial 16S ribosomal RNA". It matches the Rfam family "Bacterial small subunit ribosomal RNA", at positions 355 to 776 of the family's 1533-position model. Lineage: Bacteria; Pseudomonadati; Bacteroidota. RNAcentral also lists the same sequence under 2 other names. The record is from RNAcentral.